RNAcentral lists this unclassified non-coding RNA (336 nucleotides) under soil metagenome. RNAcentral describes it as "partial contains 5.8S ribosomal RNA, internal transcribed spacer 2, and large subunit ribosomal RNA". The stretch from base 1 to 120 matches the Rfam family "5.8S ribosomal RNA", at positions 35 to 154 of the family's 154-position model. The record is from RNAcentral.
GAUGAAGAACGCAGCGAAAUGCGAUAAGUAGUGUGAAUUGCAGAAUUCAGUGAAUCAUCGAAUCUUUGAACGCACAUUGCGCCCCUUGGUAUUCCAUGGGGCAUGCCUGUUCGAGCGUCAUUUGUACCUUCAAGCUUUGCUUGGUGUUGGGUGUUUGUCUCGCCUUUGCGUGUAGACUCGCCUUAAAAUAAUUGGCAGCCGGCGUAUUGAUUUCGGAGCGCAGUACAUCUCGCGCUUUGCACUCAUAACGACAGCGUCCAAAAGUACAUUUUACACUCUUGACCUCGGAUCAGGUAGGGAUACCCGCUGAGUUUAAGCAUAUCAAUAAGCGGAGGA